AACAUGCUUCCUUAGAUCCACCUUUGUGGAUGAAUCUUGAACUGAGUUCUGCUUGUAAACAUCUUGUUUCUUGUAGUUCCAGUCAAAGAAACAUCCAGCAACUUUUUUGGUUGUACAGUCGAAGGUGCUUGAGUCAUUGGCAUGUGAGAGCAGUAUACCUGCAUGGUAGUCUAAAGUUCUGAUAGAAGUGACACGCAGUUAUGCAGUCACUUUUUACUAUCAGGAUUCGACUGGUGUGCGGACACU
RNAcentral lists this small nucleolar RNA (246 nucleotides) under Octodon degus (degu). Its description in RNAcentral is "Small nucleolar RNA SNORA53 (ENSODEG00000021690.1)". It matches the Rfam family "Small nucleolar RNA SNORA53". From Rfam's summary of the family: The snoRNA ACA53 belongs to the H/ACA family of pseudouridylation guide snoRNAs. The record is from Rfam by way of RNAcentral. Lineage: Eukaryota; Metazoa; Chordata; Mammalia; Rodentia; Octodontidae.